GACGAACGCUGGCGGCGUGCUUAACACAUGCAAGUCGAACGGAAAGGCCCUGCUUUUGUGGGGUGCUCGAGUGGCGAAAGGGUGAGUAACACGUGAGUAACCUGCCCUUGACUUUGGGAUAACUUCAGGAAACUGGGGCUAAUACCGGAUAGGAGCUCCUGCUGCAUGGUGGGGGUUGGAAAGUUUCGGCGGUUGGGGAUGGACUCGCGGCUUAUCAGCUUGUUGGUGGGGUAGUGGCUUACCAAGGCUUUGACGGGUAGCCGGCCUGAGAGGGUGACCGGCCACAUUGGGACUGAGAUACGGCCCAGACUCCUACGGGAGGCAGCAGUGGGGAAUAUUGCACAAUGGGCGGAAGCCUGAUGCAGCAACGCCGCGUGCGGGAUGAAGGCCUUCGGGUUGUAAACCGCUUUCGCCUGUGACGAAGCGUGAGUGACGGUAAUGGGUAAAGAAGCACCGGCUAACUACGUG
This 468-nucleotide ribosomal RNA is filed under the name uncultured bacterium. Its description in RNAcentral is "partial 16S ribosomal RNA". It matches the Rfam family "Bacterial small subunit ribosomal RNA", at positions 28 to 507 of the family's 1533-position model. The record is from RNAcentral.